RNAcentral lists this ribosomal RNA (580 nucleotides) under Bacillus subtilis. RNAcentral describes it as "bacterial SSU rRNA". It matches the Rfam family "Bacterial small subunit ribosomal RNA", at positions 75 to 639 of the family's 1533-position model. Lineage: Bacteria; Bacillati; Bacillota; Bacilli; Caryophanales; Bacillaceae. The record is from RNAcentral.
GGAGCUUGCUCCCUGAUGUUAGCGGCGGACGGGUGAGUAACACGUGGGUAACCUGCCUGUAAGACUGGGAUAACUCCGGGAAACCGGGGCUAAUACCGGAUGGUUGUUUGAACCGCAUGGUUCAAACAUAAAAGGUGGCUUCGGCUACCACUUACAGAUGGACCCGCGGCGCAUUAGCUAGUUGGUGAGGUAACGGCUCACCAAGGCAACGAUGCGUAGCCGACCUGAGAGGGUGAUCGGCCACACUGGGACUGAGACACGGCCCAGACUCCUACGGGAGGCAGCAGUAGGGAAUCUUCCGCAAUGGACGAAAGUCUGACGGAGCAACGCCGCGUGAGUGAUGAAGGUUUUCGGAUCGUAAAGCUCUGUUGUUAGGGAAGAACAAGUACCGUUCGAAUAGGGCGGUACCUUGACGGUACCUAACCAGAAAGCCACGGCUAACUACGUGCCAGCAGCCGCGGUAAUACGUAGGUGGCAAGCGUUGUCCGGAAUUAUUGGGCGUAAAGGGCUCGCAGGCGGUUUCUUAAGUCUGAUGUGAAAGCCCCCGGCUCAACCGGGGAGGGUCAUUGGAAACUGGGGA